AUUGAACGCUGGCGGCAUGCCUAACACAUGCAAGUCGAACGGAGGGCUUCGGUCCUCAGUGGCGGACGGGUGAGUAACGCGUAGGGAUCUGCCCCGCAGUGGGGGACAACCUGGGGAAACUCAGGCUAAUACCGCAUACGCUCCAUGGAGGAAAGCGGGGGGACCUUCGGGCCUCGCGCUGCGGGAUGAACCUACGUCCGAUUAGCUAGUUGGUGGGGUAAAGGCCCACCAAGGCGACGAUCGGUAGCUGGUCUGAGAGGACGGCCAGCCACACUGGGACUGAGACACGGCCCAGACUCCUACGGGAGGCAGCAGUGGGGAAUAUUGGACAAUGGGCGCAAGCCUGAUCCAGCAAUGCCGCGUGGGUGAAGACGGCCUGCGGGUUGUAAAGCCCUUUAGGCGGGGAAGAACGGCCGGGCGCGAAUAGCGCGCGGCUCUGACGUUACCCGCAGAAUAAGCACCGGCUAACUCCGUGCCAGCAGCCGCGGUAAU
Molecule: ribosomal RNA, 492 nt
Filed under: uncultured bacterium
Lineage: Bacteria
Description: bacterial SSU rRNA
Rfam family: Bacterial small subunit ribosomal RNA
Source: RNAcentral